RNAcentral lists this ribosomal RNA (1301 nucleotides) under Tomicus yunnanensis. Its description in RNAcentral is "16S ribosomal RNA". The stretch from base 1054 to 1213 matches the Rfam family "Archaeal large subunit ribosomal RNA", at positions 2542 to 2701 of the family's 2987-position model. Lineage: Eukaryota; Metazoa; Arthropoda; Insecta; Coleoptera; Curculionidae. The record is from RNAcentral.
UAAUUUUAUUAUUAUUAGAUAAAAUAAGUAAUAUUUUAUUAAUUAUUAAAAAUAAUUUUUAUUUUUAUUAUAUUUAAAUGGAAAAAAUAAAUUUAAUUAUAGUUAAUUAGUAUUGAUAAAGAAGUAAUAAAAUUUUAUAAAAGGAUAAUUAAUUUUUUGUACCUUGGGUAUCAGGGUUUAUUAAAAAUUUUUUAAAUAUUUAAAUUUCUCGAAUUUAAGAGAGCUAUAAAUUUAUUUUUUUUAUUGUUGAAUAAAUAUUAUAAAUAUAUUUAUAGAUGUAAAAUGCUAUUCGUUCUUAAGUAUAUCUAGUUUUUAAAGAAAAAAAUAUUAAUUUAUUUUUUAUUUAUUAUUUAAUUAAGUUUUUAAUUAAAUAGUAGUAAAAUUUUAUAAAUUUAGGGAUGAGCUUAAAUUUAAAUUUAUAUAAUAAAAGUUGAUUAAAAUUUAAUAAGUAGAAUUAGAAGUUUUUAUUUUUAUUGUGUUUAAUAACUAGUUUAUAUUUUAUUAUAAUUUUUAUAAUAUUUAUAUUUUAUAUUUAAAAUAGUAUUUUAAUUUUAAAAAUAUGGGAAUAAUGAUAAAAUUAGUAUAAUAAAAAUGUAUUUUAUAAAUAUUAUUUAUAGAUUGUUUAAAGGAAUUCGGCAAAUAUAAUUUUCACCUGUUUACUAAAAACAUGGCUUUUUGAUUAUAAUUUAAGGUCUAGCCUGCCCAAUGAUUAAUUUUAAAUGGCCGCGGUAAUUUGACCGUGCAAAGGUAGCAUAAUCAUUAGUUUUUUAAUUGAAAGCUUGUAUGAAAGGUUGGAUGAAAAAUUGACUGUCUCAGGAUAAAUUUUUAAAACUUUAUUUUUAAGUAAAAAAGCUUAAAUAUAUAUAGAAGACGAGAAGACCCUAUAGAGUUUUAUAUAUUAAUUAAUUAAUAAAUUUUAGUAUUAAAAAUUUUGAUUAGUUUAUAUAUUUAGUUGGGGUGAUUGAAAAAUUAAAUAAACUUUUUUUUUAAUUUUACAUUUAUAUAUGAAAAAUUGAUCCUUAUUUAAAGAUUAAAAGAUUAAAUUACCUUAGGGAUAACAGCGUAAUUUUUUUUUAGAGUCCUUAUUGAAAGAAAAGAUUGCGACCUCGAUGUUGGAUUAAAAUAUAAAUUUGGUGUAGGAGCUAAAUGGAUUAGGUCUGUUCGACCUUUAAAAUUUUACAUGAUCUGAGUUUAGACCGGCGUGAGCCAGGUUGGUUUCUAUCUCUAUAAAAAGUAAUAUUUUAGUACGAAAGGACCAAGUAUUGAUUUUAAAAAUUUUAAUUAGAAUUUUACUAAUAUUA